Molecule: long non-coding RNA, 1741 nt
Filed under: Olea europaea subsp. europaea
Lineage: Eukaryota; Viridiplantae; Streptophyta; Magnoliopsida; Lamiales; Oleaceae
Source: RNAcentral
AAAACUACUUGAUGAUCUUGAACUUCUUCACAUUUCUAGAAUUUCCUUGAUCAAGUUUACACUACUUUCAACAAUUAUGUCAGCUCACUUGACCUUGUCAGCAGACAAACUUAGUGAGUUUGAAUUCUUACCUUAACCUUCAUAGAAGCAAUUAUUUCUGAACUCUAUGGAACAAAAAGAGGUUUUUCUUGUUUACUUUUUUUAUAAGUAGUAUUUAGUGGCUUAUGCAUUAUUCUACUUUGGAUUAUGGUCAGUUGGUUAUUGUGUGUUCUAUGAAUCAUUUCAUUGAUUUAAUUGCCUAACUCUGUUGGAACCUUCACUGUGGUUCCUUCAGAGUUUAAGAGGGGAAGUGCAUUUUCCUAUGGGGUUCAAGAUUCUGCCAAGAACCAAAAGAUUGCAUCUUCUGAGGGAACUUCAGCAUUGUGAACCCAUGGAAGAGCAUAGGAACUUGGAUGAUAUUCUGAAGAACGUCAUUAAUUUUAUGAAAUUUGACACUAUGCAAAGUUAAUCGGAACACUGCCAUUCUCAAAAUGGUUCUAGCAUGAAAACAAGUUAACUAAGCUCUCAAAUAGAUUCUUUUUAUAUUGUGUCUACAUAAUUUUCGAUUUUUUUUGCCUUUGCAAUAUCUUCGAGGUGUGGUACAGCAAUCAAAAGGUUUGGCCAAGAUUUUCCUUGAUGAACGGAAAACCAGGAAAAAGAUUUCUGAUAAGUUCUUCAGAAUUUCUCCAUCAAAUAAGGUGACUAACAAUUUUGAAAUUGCAGCCAUCGAAUGCUGGACAUCCUCUGUCCAGUCUAUGUACAUUUUGUUGACAUCUAUAGCCUUAAGGUCACUUCGCAGGCAAUAUUUGAUUAAGAGUGGAGCUCAUUUCCUACUACGUAUUUUCCGUAAGGUUGUAACAGUAGGAGCAGAGGACAUAACACACCAUACAACGAUAGUUUCUUGUUCUUUGACAUUCUUUUUUUUGCAUUAGCUAUCCUAAAGAUCCUACGGUAUCUAACUUAAAUUUUUUAUGCAGACUACUCGGGUUUGAUUGAAAUUAAAUUAUAUGCUUGCUAUACUAGUUGGGAUGUUUUCUAGCGGCCCUCGUAUCAAUCUAUUGACAUAUUAAAAAUGCAGCCCAAAUCGAAUAGCCCAAGGAAUGAAGUCUAAUUGGACAAUUCAGGAUAAAGGCCCAGAUAGGGUUAUUAAUGAAUGCAGUGGAAGCCCACGAACACGGUAAUAUCAUCGCCCAAGCUUGCAAGACGCCCAAAAUCUGAGCGAACGAAGUGCCUUACAGUCGCCCAGAGCUAUGACCAUGUUCUUGCCCAAACCUUCAAAUCGCCCAAGAUCUUAACAAACAUAAGAAUGUUAUGGUUAUCCAGAAGUGCAGUUAUUGAAACAGUUAUUGAGUAACCUUAUCACGUUCCACGAUUCAAGGAGUUCAGUUGAAGACGGUUGAACGACAAAGAGUAGUGGCAGCAGUUAAAGAUGGCAGUUCCACGACAAGUUAGCCACCAUAAAGAAAGUGGGUAGUUAUAAAGCGAUCAAGCAGUUUCUAAGCGGUUGAUCACGAAGAAAUUAUCAAGGGAAUAUAAAAAGAAGAGAAGACAUAGAGCAAAGGACCCCGAAUCAAACACUCUUAAAUAGAGAAUAUGUAAUUUCAAUUUCUUAAUUUAGACUAAAACAUUUCUUUUCAGUACUCGUGUGCUUGCGCCCCUUGGAGACAUUCUGUUUAGUUCCAAUUGUAAAGUCAUCGCCAAU